UCCUCCGUGGCGCAAUUGGCUAGCGCGUUCGACUGUUAAUGCCACCUAUUUAUUAGCAAAUCGAGAGGUUGAAAGUUCGAGCCUUUCCGGGGGAG
Non-coding RNA from Neocucurbitaria cava, 95 nucleotides. NCBI's taxonomy places the organism in Eukaryota, Fungi, Ascomycota, Dothideomycetes, Pleosporales, Cucurbitariaceae. The record is from the annotation of a GenBank genome assembly.